UACGUAGGGGGCUAGCGUUGUCCGGAAUCAUUGGGCGUAAAGCGCGUGUAGGCGGUCCGGUAAGUCUGCUGUGAAAGUCGGGGGCUCAACCCUCGGAUGCCGGUGGAUACUGUCGGGCUAGAGUACGGGAGAGGCGAGUGGAAUUCCUGGUGUAGCGGUGAAAUGCGCAGAUAUCAGGAGGAACACCGAUUGCGAAGGCAGCUCGCUGUAACGUUACUGACGCUGAGACGCGAAAGCGUGGGGAGCAAACAGG
Molecule: ribosomal RNA, 253 nt
Filed under: uncultured bacterium
Lineage: Bacteria
Description: partial 16S ribosomal RNA
Rfam family: Bacterial small subunit ribosomal RNA
Source: RNAcentral